RNAcentral lists this transfer RNA (71 nucleotides) under Loxodonta africana (African savanna elephant). It matches the Rfam family "tRNA". Rfam says of the family: Transfer RNA (tRNA) molecules are approximately 80 nucleotides in length. Their secondary structure includes four short double-helical elements and three loops (D, anti-codon, and T loops). The record is from Rfam by way of RNAcentral. Lineage: Eukaryota; Metazoa; Chordata; Mammalia; Proboscidea; Elephantidae.
GCUUUGGUGGCUCAGUGGUAGAAUUUUCCCCUUCCACGCGGGAGACCUGGGUUCAAUUCCCAGCCAACGCA